UACGUACAUAAGGCUUUUCAUAGGGCCUGGUUCAUGCCCUUUUUUAGGGGGUGAGAGAAUGACAGUAUUCGAAACUCUUAUGUUUUCUGUGGCAUUUGCCAGUUUGAUUGUCGCAGUGCUGUCUUUUAAUCAAAAAAAAUAACCACCCAUAGCCUAGCAAGCAAUUAGUGUGGUUAUUUUUUUCUUGCUCUAAUUUGUGAGCUGCCCCCUCGAAGGGCUACUGUGCUUAAAACCGUUUGGUGUUGAUAGCACCAAGC
Molecule: small RNA, 257 nt
Organism: Oceanobacillus picturae
Lineage: Bacteria; Bacillati; Bacillota; Bacilli; Caryophanales; Bacillaceae
Rfam family: BsrG
About the family: bsrE, bsrG and bsrH pair through intermolecular interactions with antisense sRNAs. SR4 interaction with the 3'UTR of bsrG RNA promotes bsrG degradation and inhibits its translation.
Source: Rfam